Molecule: long non-coding RNA, 350 nt
Filed under: Rattus norvegicus (Norway rat)
Lineage: Eukaryota; Metazoa; Chordata; Mammalia; Rodentia; Muridae
Description: long non-coding RNA NONRATT003378
Source: RNAcentral
GUUUGGGUGGCGCGGGAAGGCCGACGCCCCAUGCGGCGAGCAGAGGCGGGCCGCGGCCCGGUCAGAGGUCCGUGUGGCGGGUGGCGGCGGAUGGCGGGCCCGUCCCUCCUCAGUGCAGCCCCGCCCCCGGCUGAAGGUCAGCGCGCUUUGUUCCCGCCGCCCGCGAGUCCACGCGAAGGCGCGCAGGCGGUUCCUUGAGAGGAACAAGGCCUCCCCAGCGAGGUGGGCCUGGGUGCGCCUUGUCUUAGACCGCGCCUGGGAAGGAAGGGGUCUACUGGGCCGCCGCCUCGCCCUUCCGGGCUUUGCAUGCUCUCCGCACAGUGCCCUAGUAGACUUCACUCUCUGAGUCU